UUAAAGGAAUUGACGGAAGGGCACCACAAGGAGUGGAGCCUGCGGCUUAAUUUGACUCAACACGGGAAAACCUAUCAGGCCCGGACACUGGAAGGAUUGACAGAUUGAGAGCUCUUUCUUGAUUCAGUGGGUUGUGGUGCAUGGCCGUUCUUAGUCGGUGGUGCGAAUUGUCUGGUUAAUUCCGGUAACGGACGAGACUCUAGCCUGCUAACUAGUCGUACCGGCAUCCUUGGUGCAGCCGGCGACUGCUUAUCUUCUUAGAGGGACAAUUUGCUUCUAGCAGAACGAGAUUGAGCAAUAACAGGUCUGUAAUGCCCUUAGAUGUUCUGGGCCGCACGCGCGCUACACUGAAGGCAGCAGCGUGUGUUUUCCUAGUCCGAGAGGUCCGGGUAACCCGUGGAAACUCUUUCGUGCUAGGGAUUGGGGCUUGUAAUUUUUCCCCACGAACGAGGAAUUCCUAGUAAACUUGAGUCAUAAGCUCGCGUUGAUUAUGUCCCUGCCCUUUGUCCACACCGCCCGUCGCUACUACCGAUUGAAUAAUUUAGUGAGGUCUUCGGACCUGCGCUCGGCCGCCUCCUUCGGGGGUGGCCGAGGAAGCGGGGAAGAUGACCGAACUUGAUUAUUUAGAGGAAGUAAAAGUCGUAACAAGGUUUCC
RNAcentral lists this ribosomal RNA (655 nucleotides) under Pteronemobius obscurior. RNAcentral's name for it is "bacterial SSU rRNA". It matches the Rfam family "Eukaryotic small subunit ribosomal RNA", at positions 1144 to 1804 of the family's 1831-position model. The record is from RNAcentral. Lineage: Eukaryota; Metazoa; Arthropoda; Insecta; Orthoptera; Trigonidiidae.